This is a long non-coding RNA of Sinocyclocheilus anshuiensis, 524 nucleotides long. RefSeq lists it as uncharacterized. The transcript has 3 exons. Lineage: Eukaryota; Metazoa; Chordata; Actinopteri; Cypriniformes; Cyprinidae. The record is from RefSeq and is a predicted model, not a curated record.
GGUAAAAGGUUUUUAUUUUUCGUAGUUGUUGUACUGAGUGUUGUUGAUGAUAGUUUUGGCUUCAUAUGGAUACUAUUACGAUGCACUUUUUAAGGGGGGGUUUUGCAGUUCCUAACACCAAGUGUUUUACAGUUUUUCUUUGGCAGUGUUUUUAAGCCUUGGUGUUCAUGACAGCAUUUGGACUGUUGAUGGCUAUAGCUUUGUCAGCAAUGCAGGCAAUCCUGGAUAUUAUAACCCUGAUAUCCCAAAAGAUGUUUGACCCAUGCAGGAUGAUGUUAAACUACUAAGUUUUUACACCAGGUAUGGCCCAGGAGAUGUUGCUGGACCAAUCAGGCCUCGGAGUUCUAGGAAUAUAAUUUAUAGUGCUGCAGUUAAGGCAGGCUAUGGUUCUGGAAGCUACCAUUCUCAGACUGGCUCUUCAGGUGGUCCAGUGACAAGUGGAAGUUCUGGUUCAGAUGCUAGAAGCCAGCUUCAGGACUCUCGACGUGCUUCAGUUGGAAGUGGUAGCCUUGUGGGUAGUGCAG